CAGGCGGGGCCAGUCCGGGCGUGCAGUGGCCGGAUGUUGUUGCGCCGGGCCCGGGGGCUGCCGGGGGCGCGCCGGGGGGAGCCCCCGGAUGGCACCGGCAGCCGCGGGGGGGUGCUGGGGGCAGGGUCCCCCCACUCCCACCCCACCAACACCUCCAGCAUUCGGGAGCGCUCGGACACGCCGGCAAAGGACAGCGGCACCUCGGGCACCGCAGGGAGCAAUGGCAGCGUGGGGGGGACCCGAGGUGACGAGGGGCUUCCCCCUCCACCGACCCACUGCUGCGGGACCGGCUGCCCCAACUGCGUGUGGAUCGGGUACGUGGAGGAGCUGCUGCAGCGGUACCGGGACGGCGGGACCCGCGCCCUGGCGGCCGUGGAGGAGCACGUGGAGGACGAGAGCAUUAAAGCGAUCCUCAGGAUGGAGAUCAGGCUGCGCAUGGGGAAGGACUGAGCAUCCCCUGGCCCCCCCAAAGCCGAUGGGGACCCCCCCCAAGGGAGCCUCUGCUCCAGUUGCCUUUGUUUCCAUGUUAAACCCCAUCAGUUUGGCUCAGCACAUCCCUGCUCCAUCCUGCCCAUGUGGGCUGGGGGCUCGGAGGCUCCUGGCCAUCGGGAUGAGCUUCCCCACGGAGCCACCAAGCCCUGGGGCAGCGCUGAGGACGCCCAAGCUGGAGGCAGCAGUUGGCACCAGGGCCCUGCUCCGUGCCACAGGAGUGGCCGGUUCUGCCGGCUUCAUAGGAAACGCUCCCAGAUCCCUGUAAUCCUAUUUGUUGGAGUGCAACUAAUUGCAAUUAGUGGCAGGGGCUGAAGUUCAAUUAAAGUGUACUGAGAUUA
RNA transcript from Strigops habroptila (Kakapo), 830 nucleotides. It is a transcript of the gene named phosphodiesterase 6G, with no coding region annotated. The transcript has 3 exons. The record is from RefSeq and is a predicted model, not a curated record. NCBI's taxonomy places the organism in Eukaryota, Metazoa, Chordata, Aves, Psittaciformes, Psittacidae.